Non-coding RNA from Triticum aestivum (bread wheat), 135 nucleotides. The record is from Rfam. Lineage: Eukaryota; Viridiplantae; Streptophyta; Magnoliopsida; Poales; Poaceae.
AAAGUACUCCCUCCGUCCCAAAAUUCUUGUCUUAGAUUUGUCUAGAUACGGAUGUAUCAAGUCACAAUUUAUUAUUAGAUACAUCCGUAUCUAGACAAAUCUAAGACAAGAAAUUUGGGACAAAGGGAGUAGUUG